Molecule: ribosomal RNA, 493 nt
Filed under: uncultured bacterium
Lineage: Bacteria
Description: partial 16S ribosomal RNA
Rfam family: Bacterial small subunit ribosomal RNA
Source: RNAcentral
ACGAACGCUGGCGGCGUGCUUCACACAUGCAAGUCGAACGGUGAAGCGCCUUCCUUUUUGGUGGGUGUGGAUGAGUGGCGAACGGGUGAGUAACACGUGAGUAACCUGCCCCCUUCUUCUGGAUAACCGCAUGAAAGUGUGGCUAAUACGGGAUAUUCUGGGUCUGUCGCAUGAUGGGUCUGGGAAAGAUAUUGUUUCGGUGGGGGAUGGGCUCGCGGCCUAUCAGCUUGUUGGUGGGGUGAUGGCCUACCAAGGCGGUGACGGGUAGCCGGCCUGAGAGGGUGGACGGUCACACUGGGACUGGGACACGGCCCAGACUCCUACGGGAGGCAGCAGUGGGGAAUAUUGCACAAUGGGCGCAAGCCUGAUGCAGCGACGCCGCGUGAGGGAUGGAGGCCUUCGGGUUGUGAACCUCUUUCGCCAGUGAAGCAGGCCUGCCUCGUUUGUGGGUGGGUUGACGGUAGCUGGAUAAGAAGCGCCGGCUAACUACGUG